UAGUCAUAUGCUUGUCUCAAAAACUAACCCAUGCAUGUCUAAGUAUAAAUGUUAUACAGUGAAACUGCGAAGGGCUCAUUAAAACAGUUAUAGUUUAUUUGAUAAUCGAAUUUACAUGGAUAACCGGGGUAAUUCUAGAGCUAAUACAUGCUGGUUAGCCUGACUUUUGAGGAAGGGCUGUAUUUAUUAAAUAACAAACCAAUAUUCCCCGUGUCUAUUGUGAUGACUCAUAAUAACUGAUCGAAUCGCAGGGACUUUGUCCGCAAUAAAUCAUUCAAGUUUCUGCCCCAUCAGCUUUCGAUGGUAGUGUAUUGGACUACCAUGGCUUUAACGGGUAACGGAGGAUUAGGGUUCGAUUCCGGAAAGGGAGCCUGAAAAACGGCUACCACAUCUAAGGAAGGCAGCAGGCGCGUAAAUUACCCAAUCCUGACUCAGGGAGGUAGUGACAAGAAAUAACGGACCGAACCCUAUGUUUCGGGAUUGCAAUGAGUAAAAUUUAAACCCCUUUACAAGGAUCAAUU
Molecule: ribosomal RNA, 521 nt
Filed under: uncultured microeukaryote
Lineage: Eukaryota
Description: SSU rRNA
Rfam family: Eukaryotic small subunit ribosomal RNA
Source: RNAcentral